Molecule: unclassified non-coding RNA, 313 nt
Filed under: Hevea brasiliensis (rubber tree)
Lineage: Eukaryota; Viridiplantae; Streptophyta; Magnoliopsida; Malpighiales; Euphorbiaceae
Source: RNAcentral
AUCGUCCUCAUCCUCAUCAUCUUCUUCUUUCACAUCCAUUCCCAUCUCUUCGUCAUCUUCGUUUGUAUCAUAUCUCUGCAUCUCUGAUGCCAUUCCAGCUUUCUUCCACUUCUUUUACUCGAGUUUUACAAACCUCAGAUAUAGAUGACAUUGCUUACACUUACCAUGCUUCAGCAUAAUAAUUGGACUAAAGUAUUCCAGAAGACAUUUUUGAUAUGAUUAGUGAAGCUUGGUUCUUCAGCUCCCUGAUUUCAACAAAAGAAACCGGUCUAUCUAAUUGUUGUAAGACAUGCACCGAAGCCGACGGUUAUCG